CAGGGAGACAACAAAAUGUUUAAUAUUAUUUUGUCACCUUAGGUCGAUCGGUAUCUCACGUUCUUAAUUUAUUAAGAAUUUCAUUUUCUAAGUUUUUCUAGGUCACACCCAUUAUUUUCCUGGGCCAUUAGCUCAGGUGGUUAGAGCGCACCCCUGAUAAGGGUGAGGUCCCUGGUUCAAGUCCAGGAUGGCCCAUAUCUCUAUGUUGGGGGUAUAGCUCAGUUGGUAGAGCGCCUGCUUUGCAAGCAGGAUGUCAGCGGUUCGAGUCCGCUUACCUCCACUGAUUACCACCUCUUCCAUAAUUUGUAUUCAGGGAAUUUUUGAGUUGUGAUCAAAUUCUGAACGAGUCUAGCUUCCUAAUGCAACUAUUAAGAUGCUGGAUUCAUUGAAUCAAUUUCAUUGUUUUCAGAGAACCUUGACAACUGCAUAGAUUAUUUUUAAAGACAAUAAGCAUCUUUAACGAUGCAGAUUUAUUAUUUGUGCAAAUGCAUUAAUAACAAUUCUAUUAAGCUGAUGCUUCAAUUUUGAAGUUAUU
RNAcentral lists this transfer RNA (535 nucleotides) under uncultured cyanobacterium. Its description in RNAcentral is "partial contains 16S ribosomal RNA, 16S-23S ribosomal RNA intergenic spacer, and 23S ribosomal RNA". The stretch from base 208 to 280 matches the Rfam family "tRNA". The record is from RNAcentral. Lineage: Bacteria; Bacillati; Cyanobacteriota.